Long non-coding RNA from Mesocricetus auratus (golden hamster), 462 nucleotides. RefSeq lists it as uncharacterized. NCBI's taxonomy places the organism in Eukaryota, Metazoa, Chordata, Mammalia, Rodentia, Cricetidae. The record is from RefSeq and is a predicted model, not a curated record. The transcript has 3 exons.
CGUACCAAGAAAGCCUUCAUCCUGGCCGAACCACUGAACGAAACUGGUCCUCCUGCCCUCAAUCGGCCACUCCCCUCCUGCUAACAUUUCUCCUCCUGAUUUCAGAAACCCCCUCUUUUCUCUCUCACGGACUUGGACCUCCCAGGAUCCGUGUCCUUGUCCCGCUGGAAGACCAGGAACACGGCUGGUGACUGACGAAACAGAUGUGACAGCAGCUCUAAGAAGACAGGCCUGGAGGGGGACUACUUCAGGAUUCAGGAGUGGAGGCUAAGGAGGCACAUUUGCAAAAGGGAUCAGAAGUGAAGGUUACCACAGCUGGCUGUGGAGUGCAUGAAGAACCUGCUGUGUACCGCCUCAUGUGCUAUCUGUGGAGGACAGAGGGCAUGGAUAAACGCAUUACAGUUUGCCACAUGUGCAUCCAACCCUGGGCUUAGUUAAUAAAAGUGGAGGGCAGCAAAUCCA